Molecule: long non-coding RNA, 248 nt
Filed under: Homo sapiens (human)
Lineage: Eukaryota; Metazoa; Chordata; Mammalia; Primates; Hominidae
Description: non-protein coding lnc-FCN1-4:2
Source: RNAcentral
ACCACGGGCACACACAGAGGAGUCCAGUGUAGUUUGUGUGAGGGAGAGAGAGAGAGAUUGGAUUUGAGAAUGGAACUGAAAUUGUGCAUGAAUGGAAUUUGAAUUCCAAGACAAACCCCAUCUAAAUUCUCCGAAGAGGCUCUGCAAGCUGUGACGUGCUGGGCAAUUGUUCCUCCUAAUUUCCAGUGAGAAUCGCUUCCACUCGGUGUGUAUCCAGAAUGAGUAUCAGCACAGCUCAAACCUUCUAA